This 606-nucleotide ribosomal RNA is filed under the name uncultured bacterium. Its description in RNAcentral is "bacterial SSU rRNA". It matches the Rfam family "Bacterial small subunit ribosomal RNA", at positions 54 to 660 of the family's 1533-position model. The record is from RNAcentral.
CAUGCAAGCCGAGCGGUAUUGUUUCUUCGGAAAUGAGAGAGCGGCGUACGGGUGCGGAACACGUGUGCAACCUGCCUUUAUCUGGGGGAUAGCCUUUCGAAAGGAAGAUUAAUACUCCAUAAUAUAUUGAACGGCAUCGUUUAAUAUUGAAAGCUCCGGCGGAUAGAGAUGGGCACGCGCAAGAUUAGCUAGUUGGUGAGGUAACGGCUCACCAAGGCGAUGAUCUUUAGGGGGCCUGAGAGGGUGAUCCCCCACACUGGUACUGAGACACGGACCAGACUCCUACGGGAGGCAGCAGUGAGGAAUGUUGGUCAAUGGGUGCAAGCCUGAACCAGCCAUCCCGCGUGAAGGACGACUGCCCUAUGGGUUGUAAACUUCUUUUGUAUAGGGAUAAACCUACCCUCGUGAGGGUAGCUGAAGGUACUAUACGAAUAAGCACCGGCUAACUCCGUGCCAGCAGCCGCGGUAAUACGGAGGGUGCAAGCGUUAUCCGGAUUUAUUGGGUUUAAAGGGUCCGUAGGCGGACUUAUAAGUCAGUGGUGAAAGCCUGUCGCUUAACGAUAGAACUGCCAUUGAUACUGUAAGUCUUGAGUAUAUUUGAGGUAG